RNAcentral lists this non-coding RNA (24 nucleotides) under Arabidopsis thaliana (thale cress). Lineage: Eukaryota; Viridiplantae; Streptophyta; Magnoliopsida; Brassicales; Brassicaceae. The record is from RNAcentral.
GAGGUCUUGGGUUCGAGGAACGCC